Molecule: ribosomal RNA, 500 nt
Filed under: uncultured bacterium
Lineage: Bacteria
Description: partial 16S ribosomal RNA
Rfam family: Bacterial small subunit ribosomal RNA
Source: RNAcentral
AUUGAACGCUGGCGGAAUGCUUUACACAUGCAAGUCGAACGGCAGCACGGACUUCGGUCUGGCGGCGAGUGGCGAACGGGUGAGUAAUGUAUCGGAACGUGCCCAGUCGUGGGGGAUAACGUAGUGAAAAUUACGCUAAUACCGCAUACGAUCUAUGGAUGAAAGCGGGGGAUCGCAAGACCUCGCGCGAUUGGAGCGGCCGAUAUCAGAUUAGGUAGUUGGUGGGGUAAAGGCCCACCAAGCCAAUGAUCUGUAGCUGGUCUGAGAGGACGACCAGCCACACUGGAACUGAGACACGGUCCAGACUCCUACGGGAGGCAGCAGUGGGGAAUUUUGGACAAUGGGCGAAAGCCUGAUCCAGCCAUUCCGCGUGCAGGAUGAAGGCCCUCGGGUUGUAAACUGCUUUUGUACAGAACGAAAAGGUUUCUACUAAUACUAGGAGCUCAUGACGGUACUGUAAGAAUAAGCACCGGCUAACUACGUGCCAGCAGCAGCCGCGG